Phyllostomus discolor (pale spear-nosed bat) is the source of this 1807-nucleotide long non-coding RNA. RefSeq lists it as uncharacterized. The record is from RefSeq and is a predicted model, not a curated record. NCBI's taxonomy places the organism in Eukaryota, Metazoa, Chordata, Mammalia, Chiroptera, Phyllostomidae. The transcript is spliced from 2 exons.
UUGGUCAUGAAUUUGGCCUAUUCCAGACUUGAGUUUGCUUUCUGCUCCUGGCUCUUCCUUAGGAUGAAGAGGAUCUGGGGAGCACAUCCACAGCUAAUUCACAGUUUUUGGAUCAGCCAUGCAACAUAAGCCAGAAAUAGGACUUUGUUUUUGUGAGACAGUAUAACCUGGUAAAAGAUGACUAAUAUAUAGAGCUAAACAAUGAGAAGAAGCCAUUUUGAAAGGAUCAGGGGAAGUGUGUGUGUGUGUGUGUGUGUGUGAGAACUCACUCGGCACACUCAAGGAACUGAGAGAAAACCAGUGUGGGAGGCACAGAGUUAGAGAUGACAGGAGAAGUUGGAAACCAUGCGCGCUGAUGGAAAAAACUGGAAACGACUGGCUGUGUUUGGUUUGGACAACUCACUCAAAUGAGAGGGAGCCCAGCACGAGUUCUGCCUGAAUGAUGUUUGAAAAUCUGGCUCUUGGGUCUACCUUAACAGCUUACCUAUUUGAAUUUGACUGGAGUUCAGAUACAUAAACCAAAUUUCUUUGCUUUGGCUUCUCUUGAGUCAUAUCAAUCUACACCUCAUCAAGCGUAUGAAGUUUGGAAGAACAAAGAAGUGAUUGAGCAUCCUAAAACCAGCUGUUAAUUUUGGCCUUUGGGAAUGUCAACGAAAGGACUCAAAGUUGUUUGUUUAAUGACAUUUCGUUGGUACUUCCUGCGAUUAGUAGGAAUUUGAGUAAAAUUAUUAGUAUGAUGAAUUCUUUAAAAUGACAACUUUUAUUUAUAUUUAAAAUGUUAAAAUGCUAACUCUUAAAUUUAUGAUUUUUAAAAUUACACUUUUGUAAAAAGAAAACACCCAGAAAAGUAGACAUCAAUUAACAUUUCAGGAGAUUGACUUGUUUGAAUAUGAGAAAACCAAUUAUAUUUUCAUUGGUCAGUUAAAUAAUUUUUUCUGCAUUUGUCAAAUAAUAUUUCAAAACCCAGUUUAGCAGUGUGUAUUCAAAUGGAAAGAUUAACAGCUUGAAAAUUGCAUUUUCAUGAGGAAGGAGAAGUAGAGUUUAUUUUAUUUGAGUUAUAGCUUUUCAACCAAAUCUGGAAAUACUAUAUCUUUGUCUACCUCCACCAAGAACGGCAGAAAUUCUCUGGAGAGAAAAGCCGUGUGCAAAAUAUUCAUCUCUCAAAGGUAAGAGUGUUAGGAAUCGCGUUAUCCAAAUGAUCACCUCCACUCUCCACUUGCCCUUUGUAUGUAAAUGCCUUGGUGUGGUCAAAGCUCCUACUUGUGAACAUGUUUUAAGGUAUGUAUAUGGCUCUAGAGCAAAUUUUCUGUUCGUAAGAAGUAUCUGCGGAGCAUGAAAAGGACAAGUGUCCAGGGUUUGUCCCCAAAGACUUUGGCUCAGCUGGGUCCUAAAACUUGUAUUUUUAACAAGGCCUCAUAGUUAAGAAACUGUCCUAGACUGGAAGGGGACAGGAGAUCAUCCCACCCCACUCAUAGUACAAAUGGAGAUGCUGAGGCCAAGGCGGAAGUCAUCGCCAAAAUGCAGUUUUCAAAAAAUAUCUCAUUCAUUCAAACCAUAUUUAGGGGACACUUAUACUCAGUGCAACUAGGUGUUGGGAAUGCAAUGGCAAAUUGGCCGGGUUUGGGCUUUACCUAGCAGGAAGACAGGGUAACAGCAAAAGUAAGAUUAUGAGAACUGGGUUACGUCCCAGCUCACUGGUUCUUGACAUUAUAAUACACAGUGUUUGCCUUAAUCUGGGUAAUCAUUACAAUCUCAAUCAUUGAGAAAGACAUAACAUCACUAAAAUAAAAGAUGGCUUUUAAAUGUG